This 497-nucleotide ribosomal RNA is filed under the name uncultured bacterium. RNAcentral's name for it is "partial 16S ribosomal RNA". It matches the Rfam family "Bacterial small subunit ribosomal RNA", at positions 28 to 507 of the family's 1533-position model. The record is from RNAcentral.
GACGAACGCUGGCGGCGUGCCUAAUACAUGCAAGUUGAGCGAUGAAGAUUGGUGCUUGCACCAAUUUGAAGAGCAGCGAACGGGUGAGUAACGCGUGGGGAAUCUGCCUUCGAGCGGGGGACAACAUUUGGAAACGAAUGCUAAUACCGCAUAACAACUUUAAACAUAAGUUUUAAGUUUGAAAGAUGCAAUUGCAUCACUCAAAGAUGAUCCCGCGUUGUAUUAGCUAGUUGGUGAGGUAAAGGCUCACCAAGGCGAUGAUACAUAGCCGACCUGAGAGGGUGAUCGGCCACAUUGGGACUGAGACACGGCCCAAACUCCUACGGGAGGCAGCAGUAGGGAAUCUUCGGCAAUGGACGAAAGUCUGACCGAGCAACGCCGCGUGAGUGAAGAAGGUUUUCGGAUCGUAAAACUCUGUUGGUAGAGAAGAACGUUGGCGAGAGUGGAAAGCUCAUCAAGUGACGGUAACUACCCAGAAAGGGACGGCUAACUACGUG